CCCGAUGCAAACUGCGAAUACCGGAGAAUGUUAUCACGGGAGACACACGGCGGGUGCUAACGUCCGUCGUGAAGAGGGAAACAACCCAGACCGCCAGCUAAGGUCCCAAAGUCAUGGUUAAGUGGGAAACGAUGUGGGAAGGCCCAGACAGCCAGGAUGUUGGCUUAGAAGCAGCCAUCAUUUAAAGAAAGCGUAAUAGCUCACUGGUCGAGUCGGCCUGCGCGGAAGAUGUAACGGGGCUAAACCAUGCACCGAAGCUGCGGCAGCGAACGUAUCACCCAAGACAACUUUACGGAGUUGACGAUUGACGGAGCGAAGCGACGUCAAAGCGUUCAUUAAAGUCGAGUUGGCUUAGGGAUACGUUCGUUGGGUAGGGGAGCGUUCUGUAAGCCUGUGAAGGUGUGUCGUGAGGCAUGCUGGAGGUAUCAGAAGUGCGAAUGCUGACAUAAGUAACGAUAAAGCGGGUGAAAAGCCCGCUCGCCGGAAGACCAAGGGUUCCUGUCCAACGUUAAUCGGGGCAGGGUGAGUCGACCCCUAAGGCGAGGCCGAAAGGCGUAGUCGA
RNAcentral lists this ribosomal RNA (562 nucleotides) under Salmonella enterica subsp. enterica serovar Typhimurium. RNAcentral describes it as "partial 23S ribosomal RNA". It matches the Rfam family "Bacterial large subunit ribosomal RNA", at positions 943 to 1418 of the family's 2925-position model. The record is from RNAcentral. Lineage: Bacteria; Pseudomonadati; Pseudomonadota; Gammaproteobacteria; Enterobacterales; Enterobacteriaceae.